Molecule: ribosomal RNA, 492 nt
Filed under: uncultured bacterium
Lineage: Bacteria
Description: partial 16S ribosomal RNA
Rfam family: Bacterial small subunit ribosomal RNA
Source: RNAcentral
AGUGAACGCUGGCGGUAGGCCUAACACAUGCAAGUCGAACGGCAGCACAGUAAGAGCUUGCUCUUACGGGUGGCGAGUGGCGGACGGGUGAGGAAUACAUCGGAAUCUACUUUUUCGUGGGGGAUAACGUAGGAAAAUUUACUCUAAUACCGCAUACAACCUCCGGGUGAAAGCAGGGGUUCUUCGGACCUUGCGCGAUUGAAUAAGCCGAUGUCGGAUUAGCUAGUUGGCGGGGUAAAGGCCCACCAAGGCGACGAUCCGUAGCUGGUCUGAGAGGAUGAUCAGACACACUGUAACUGAGACACGGUUCAGACUCCUACGGGAGGCAGCAGUGGGGAAUAUUGGACAAAGGGCGCAAGCCUGAUCCAGCCAUACCGCGUGGGUGAAGAAGGCCUUCGGGUUGUAAAGCCCUUUUGUUGGGAAAGAAAAGCAGCAGGUUAAUACCCCGCUGUUCUGACGGUACCCAAAGAAUAAGCACCGGCUAACUUCGUG